UUGAUCCUGCCGGACCUGACUGCUAUCGGAUUGAUACUAAGCCAUGCGAGUCAUUGUAGCAAUGCAAGGCAGACGGCUCAGUAACGCGUAGUCAACCUACCCUAUGGACGGGAAUAAUCUCGGGAAACUGAGGAUAAUUCCAGAUAGAACACUAUGCCUGGAACGGUUUGUGUUCCAAAUGAUUUAUCGCCAUAGGAUGGGACUGCGGCCUAUCAGUUUGUUGGUGAGGUAAUGGCCCACCAAGACUAUUACAGGUACGGGCUCUGAGAGGAGUAGCCCGGAGAUGGGUACUGAGACACGGACCCAGGCCCUAUGGGGCGCAGCAGGCGAGAAAACUUUGCAAUGUGCGAAAGCACGACAAGGUUAAUCCGAGUGGUUCCUGCUAAAGGAACCUUUUGACGGUCCUAAAAACACCGUUGAAUAAGGGGUGGGCAAGUUCUGGUGUCAGCCGCCGCGGUAAAACCAGCACCUCAAGUGGUCAGGAUGAUUAUUGGGCCUAAAGCAUCCGUAGCCGGCUCUGUUAGUUUUCGGUUAAAUCUGUACGCUCAACGUACAGGCUGCCGGGAAUACUACAGAGCUAGGGAGUGAGAGAGGUAGACGGUACUUGGUAGGAAGGGGUAAAAUCCUUUGAUCUAUUGAUGACCACCUGUGGCGAAGGCGGUCUACUAGAACACGUCCAACGGUGAGGGAUGAAAGCUGGGGGAGCAAACCGGAUUAGAUACCCGGGUAGUCCCAGCUGUAAACCAUGCAAACUCAAUGAUGCACUGGCUUGAAGCCAAUGCAGUGUUGCAGGGAAGCCGUUAAGUUUGCCGCCUGGGAAGUACGUACGCAAGUAUGAAACUUAAAGGAAUUGGCGGGGGAGCACCACAAGGGGUGAAGCCUGCGGUUC
This 889-nucleotide ribosomal RNA is filed under the name uncultured Nitrosopumilales archaeon. Its description in RNAcentral is "bacterial SSU rRNA". It matches the Rfam family "Archaeal small subunit ribosomal RNA", at positions 8 to 903 of the family's 1478-position model. Lineage: Archaea; Thermoproteati; Nitrososphaerota; Nitrososphaeria; Nitrosopumilales. The record is from RNAcentral.